This 468-nucleotide ribosomal RNA is filed under the name uncultured bacterium. Its description in RNAcentral is "partial 16S ribosomal RNA". It matches the Rfam family "Bacterial small subunit ribosomal RNA", at positions 28 to 507 of the family's 1533-position model. The record is from RNAcentral.
GACGAACGCUGGCGGCGUGCUUAACACAUGCAAGUCGAACGGAAAGGCCCUGCUUUUGUGGGGUGCUCGAGUGGCGAACGGGUGAGUAACACGUGAGUAACCUGCCCUUGACUUUGGGAUAACUUCAGGAAACUGGGGUUAAUACCGGAUAGGAGCUCCUGCUGCAUGGUGGGGGUUGGAAAGUUUCGGCGGUUGGGGAUGGACUCGCGGCUUAUCAGCUUGUUGGUGGGGUAGUGGCUUACCAAGGCUUUGACGGGUAGCCGGCCUGAGAGGGUGACCGGCCACAUUGGGACUGAGAGACGGCCCAGACUCCUACGUGAGGCAGCAGUGGGGAAUAUUGCGCAGUGGGCGGAAGCCUGAUGCGGCAACGCCGCGUGCGUGAUGACGGCCUUCGGGUGGUAAACCGCUUUCGCCUGUGACGAAGCGUGAGUGACGGUAAUGGGUAAAGAAGCACCGGCUAACUACGUG